GUGGCUCAGUGGUACAGCAUCUGCUUGGCAUGCAGAGGGUCCCAGGUUCUAAUCCCUGGCCUCUCCA
Molecule: transfer RNA, 67 nt
Filed under: Sphaerodactylus townsendi
Lineage: Eukaryota; Metazoa; Chordata; Lepidosauria; Squamata; Sphaerodactylidae
Description: tRNA-Ala
Rfam family: tRNA
About the family: Transfer RNA (tRNA) molecules are approximately 80 nucleotides in length. Their secondary structure includes four short double-helical elements and three loops (D, anti-codon, and T loops).
Source: RNAcentral